AACGAACGCUGGCGGCAGGCCUAACACAUGCAAGUCGAGCGAGGACUUCGGUCCUAGCGGCGGACGGGUGAGUAACGUGUGGGAACGUGCCCUUUGCUUCGGAAUAGCCCUGGGAAAUUGGGAGUAAUAUCGGAUGAGCCCUUUUGGGGAAAGAUUUAUCGGCGAAGGAUCGGCCCGCGUUGGAUUAGGUAGUUGGUGGGGUAAUGGCCUACCACGCCGACGAUCCAUAGCUGGUUUGAGAGGAUGAUCAGCCACACUGGGACUGAGACACGGCCCAGACUCCUACGGGAGGCAGCAGUGGGGAAUCUUAGACAAUGGGGGGAACACUGAUCGAGCCAUGCCGCGUAAGCGAUGAAGGCCUUAGGGUUGUAAAGCUCUUUCAGCUGGGAAGAUAAUGACGGUACCAGCAGAAGAAGCCCCGGCUAACUCCGUG
Molecule: ribosomal RNA, 433 nt
Filed under: uncultured bacterium
Lineage: Bacteria
Description: partial 16S ribosomal RNA
Rfam family: Bacterial small subunit ribosomal RNA
Source: RNAcentral